RNAcentral lists this ribosomal RNA (1654 nucleotides) under Pharyngomonas kirbyi. RNAcentral's name for it is "SSU rRNA". It matches the Rfam family "Bacterial small subunit ribosomal RNA". Lineage: Eukaryota; Heterolobosea; Pharyngomonadea; Pharyngomonadida; Pharyngomonadidae. The record is from RNAcentral.
GAGUUUGAUCCUAGCUCCGAGUGAACGCUGACGGUAUGCUUAACACAUGCGAGUCUAACUGUAAAUUUAACUAAACUAACAUGUUUAUAAAUUUACGUGGCAAACGGGUGAGUAAAAUACAAGAAUUUUCCCCUACAGUUAAGAAUAUUCUCUCAUAAAAUGUACAAGUUUACAUAACUUAUUUUCAUUAUGAGAGUUAAUUCUUUAUAAAUAAAGAUUUAUAUCGCUGUUGGAUAAGCUUGUAAAGGAUUAGGUAGUUGGAAGGGUAAAAGCCUAACAAGCCGACGAUCCUUAGCUGUUUUGAGAGACUGAGCAGCCACAUUGGGACUGAGACACGGCCCAAACUUCCAUUGAAGGCAGCAGUGAGGAAUCUUGGACAAUGAGCGAAAGCUUGAUCCAGCAAUACCGUAUAAGAGAGGAAGGUGUAUACUGUAAAUCUUUAAACUUGAAGAAGAUAAUGACAUUAUUCAAGUGAUAAGUACCGGCUAACUCCUGUGCCAGCAGCCGCGGUAAAACAGGGGGUGCAAGCGUUAUUCGUCAGGACUGGGCGUAAAGGGUGCGUAGGUGGUCCAUUAAGUUAACUGUUAAAAAUCUUAUUAACGAAAUAAUAGUUAAUACUGGUGGUAUAACUAUCUCUAUUUUCAAUUUAAUGAGAUAUACUAGAGUUUAGAGAGGGUCAGUGGAAUUUCUAGUGGAAGAGAUAAAAUUCCGAGAUAUUAGAGAGAACACUAGAAGCGAAGGCGUCUGGCUACUUUAAACUGACACUGAGGCACGAAGGCAUAGGAAGUAAAUUGGAUUAGAGACCCAAGUAAUCUAUGCAGUCAACGAUGAGUGUUCAAUGUCUUCAUUUUGAAUGAAGAUGUUUUAGCUAACGCGUUAAACACUCCGCCUGGGUAGUACGUUCGCAAGGAUGAAACUCAAAGGAAUUGACGGAGACUCAUUACAAGCGGUGGAGCAUGUGGUUUAAUUCGAUACAACGCGAAAAACCUUACCAGUCCUUGACAUAACUAAGAAUAAAAGUCGCACAAGAAUCACUAUAACUAGUGAUUAAUUAUUUAGAACUUUCAGUUAUUGAACAAUUUUCAAUAACUGUAUUUAAGAUAAACUUUAUAAACUCUGGUUAUCCAUUUAAUUAGUUUAUCAAACUGGUAUUCUUUUUUACAGGUGUUGCAUGGCCGUCGGCAGCCCGUGUUGUGAAAUGGUUGGUUAACUCCAUGAACGGGCGGAACUCUCGCGUACAUUUAAGGUAAUAUUAUUACACCUCAAUGUACGGAACACUUACGUAAGUAAGAGGAAGUAGGGAAUCACGUCAGGUCAUUAUGGCCCUAAUGGACUGGGCUACACAUGUGCUACAUUGGUAGUAACAGUAAGAUGCUAUUUGGCUAAUCUAAUAAACACUAUCGUAGUCCGGAUUGUUUUCUGCAACUCGAAAACAUGAAGUCGGAAUCGCUAGUAAUCGCAAAUCAGCACGUUGCGGUGAAUGCGUACUUGAGUCUCGUACACACCGCCCGUCACACCAUGGAAGUUAACUUUAUUUCAAGUUCGAUUUUAUAAAUUACUUUGAUAUUAAGUAACUUAUAAAAAACGAAAAUAAAAUAAAGUUAGCAACUGGGGUGAAGUCGUAACACGGUAGUCGUAGAGGAAUCUGCGGCUG